RNAcentral lists this ribosomal RNA (253 nucleotides) under uncultured bacterium. RNAcentral describes it as "partial 16S ribosomal RNA". It matches the Rfam family "Bacterial small subunit ribosomal RNA", at positions 524 to 776 of the family's 1533-position model. The record is from RNAcentral.
UGCGUAGGGAGCAAGCGUUGUCCGGAAUCAUUGGGCGUAAAGCGCGCGUAGGUGGCCACAUAAGUCCGUUGUGAAAGUCAAAGGCUCAACCUUUGAAAGCCGAUGGAUACUGUGUGGCUAGAGUACGGAAGAGGCGAGUGGAAUUCCUGGUGUAGCGGUGGAAUGCGCAGAUAUCAGGAGGAACACCAAUAGCGAAGGCAGCUCGCUGGGACGUUACUGACACUGAGGCGCGAAAGCGUGGGGAGCGAACAGG